GAUGAACGCUGGCGGCGUGCCUAAUACAUGCAAGUCGAGCGAACGGACGAGAAGCUUGCUUCUCUGAUGUUAGCGGCGGACGGGUGAGUAACACGUGGAUAACCUACCUAUAAUACUGGGAUAACUUCGGGAAACCGUAGCUAAUACCGGAUAAUAUUUUGAACCGCAUGGUUCAAAAGUGAAAGACGGUCUUGCUGUCACUUAUAGAUGGAUCCGCGCUUCAUUAGCUAGUUGGUAAGGUAACGGCUUACCAAGGCAACGAUGCAUAGCCGACCUGAGAGGGUGAACGGCCAAAAUGGAAGUGAGAAACGGACCAGACAACUAAGGGAGGAAGCAGAAGGGAAUAUUCCGAAAUGGGCGAAAGAAUGAAGGAGCAAAGACGCGUGAGAGAUGAAGGUCUUAGGAUCGUAAAACUCUGUUAUGAGGGAAGAACAUAUGUGUAAGUAACUGUGCACAUAGUGACGGUACCUAAUAAGAAAGGAACGGCUAACUACGUG
This 497-nucleotide ribosomal RNA is filed under the name uncultured bacterium. RNAcentral describes it as "partial 16S ribosomal RNA". It matches the Rfam family "Bacterial small subunit ribosomal RNA", at positions 28 to 507 of the family's 1533-position model. The record is from RNAcentral.